RNAcentral lists this transfer RNA (73 nucleotides) under Cordylochernes scorpioides. RNAcentral's name for it is "tRNA-Thr". Lineage: Eukaryota; Metazoa; Arthropoda; Arachnida; Pseudoscorpiones; Chernetidae. The record is from RNAcentral.
GUCCAGGGAUGGGAAUCGAACCCGCAGUGUUCCGCUUACCGGGCAGAUGCCAUGUCCACUAGGCUACCCUGGA